AAAGUCGUAACAAGGUUUCCGUAGGUGAACCUGCGGAAGGAUCAUUAAUAAAUGGCGAAGCUUUCGAGCCUAGCUUUUAUCAAUAUAACACCUGUGAACUAUUUGCCUUCGGGCACUCAUCAAACAUAAUGUAACGAAUGUAAACUACUAUAAUAAAUACAACUUUCAACAACGGAUCUCUUGGCUCUC
This 189-nucleotide unclassified non-coding RNA is filed under the name Basidiomycota sp. RNAcentral describes it as "partial contains small subunit ribosomal RNA, internal transcribed spacer 1, and 5.8S ribosomal RNA". The stretch from base 1 to 47 matches the Rfam family "Eukaryotic small subunit ribosomal RNA", at positions 1785 to 1831 of the family's 1831-position model. Lineage: Eukaryota; Fungi; Basidiomycota. The record is from RNAcentral.